UACAGAGGGUGCAAGCGUUAAUCGGAAUUAUUGGGCGUAAAGCGUGCGUAGGUGGUUUUAAUAAGUUUUGAUGUGAAAGCCCUGGGCUUAACCUGGGAAUGGCGUUGAAGACUGUUAGGCUUGAGUCGGAGAGAGGGCAGUGGAAUUUCUGGUGUAGCGGUGAAAUGCGUAGAGAUCAGAAAGAACAUCGGUGGCGAAGGCGGCUGCCUGGCUCCAGACUGACACUGAGGCACGAAAAGCGUGGGGGAGCAAACAGG
Molecule: ribosomal RNA, 257 nt
Filed under: uncultured bacterium
Lineage: Bacteria
Description: partial 16S ribosomal RNA
Rfam family: Bacterial small subunit ribosomal RNA
Source: RNAcentral